GACGAACGCUGGCGGCGUGCUUAACACAUGCAAGUCGAACGGAAAGGCCCCUUUGGGGGUACUCGAGUGGCGAACGGGUGAGUAACACGUGAGUAACCUGCCCUUGACUUCGGGAUAACUUCAGGAAACUGGGGCUAGUACCGGAUAGGAAUCCUUGCUGCAUGGUGGGGGUUGGAAAGCUUCGGCGGUGUUGGAUGGACUCGCGGCUUAUCAGCUUGUUGGUGGGGUAGUGGCUUACCAAGGCUUUGACGGGUAGCCGGCCUGAGAGGGCGACCGGCCACAUUGGGACUGAGAUACGGCCCAGACUCCUACGGGAGGCAGCAGGGGGGAAUAUUGCACAAUGGGCGGAAGCCUGAUGCAGCAACGCCGCGGGCGGGAUGACGGCCUUCGGGUUGUAAACCGCUUUCAGCAGGGGCGAAGCUUGUGGUGACGGUACCUGCAGAAGAAGCACCGGCUAACUACGUG
This 465-nucleotide ribosomal RNA is filed under the name uncultured bacterium. RNAcentral describes it as "partial 16S ribosomal RNA". It matches the Rfam family "Bacterial small subunit ribosomal RNA", at positions 28 to 507 of the family's 1533-position model. The record is from RNAcentral.